RNAcentral lists this unclassified non-coding RNA (277 nucleotides) under fungal sp. RNAcentral describes it as "partial internal transcribed spacer region". The stretch from base 1 to 46 matches the Rfam family "Eukaryotic small subunit ribosomal RNA", at positions 1786 to 1831 of the family's 1831-position model. Lineage: Eukaryota; Fungi. RNAcentral also lists the same sequence under 1 other name. The record is from RNAcentral.
AAGUCGUAACAAGGUUUCCGUAGGUGAACCUGCGGAAGGAUCAUUAUCGAAUGAACGUAGAGUCGGUUGUAGCUGGCCUUGCAAAAGGCAUGUGCACGCCUUCUCUUUCAUCCACACACCCCUGUGCACUUGUGAGACGGAGGCUUAUUUCUUCCCUUUCAUUUGGGGAGAUCAUCAGUUUCCGUCUGCUACUACACAAAUUCAUAUAUUUAAUUCUGAAUGUAAUUGAUGUAACGCAUCUAUAUACAAAGUUUCAACAACGGAUCUCUUGGCUCUC